CAGACAGUGCUGACCACAGGCCACAAUCAGCAGUGGAAAAUAUUUCUGAGCCGAGGCCUAGCUGAUUAGCUCAGGGAAGGUAGAGCCCAGCUGGGGAGUGAGCAAUUAGAGGUAUAAGAAGCAGGUCUGCGUGAGUUUACCUGGGAGGAGGCUGGUAAGGGCUUCAGGGAGGCAAUGAGGAGUUAGAAGUAAACUUUCCCCUUCUACCGCCUCCCCCCCGCCAAUUUCUUUCUAGAAAACUGCAGUAGAAUACAAGGGUAUGCACUUUCUAUCUAAACUAGUUCCAAGAAUACGCCUCCAAAGCUAUGAAUUACUGAAAUUUGCAGAAAUAGCACUGGGCUGUUUUGAAAGCCAUCCUAUGAGAUGAGGAAAAAGAUACCUGGUUUGACUAUGAGCUUGAACAUGGAAAGACUUUGGACUUUUAUCCAUUCAGCCACACUUCUUUCUGAGACAGUUGCUUUUCUGUCCCAGGAGUCGUGGGCAAGGCUCUGAAAUAUCUGGAGGUGAGGGGGGGGCAGGGGCAGCAGGGCGGGCUGGUAUACUGGGGGCAGAACCACCUGCUCUCUCCUUGACUCUGAGCUAGUGACCUCCACUCCCUCCUGCUCCACCCCUGUGCCUGAGCCUGCAGGUCCCGCCGGAGCCACCAGGGGGUGGCAGUGAGCCAAAAAGAGAAAGUCCAGGAAGGGGACCAUCUGGCUUUAGGAGGGCCCGGCCCCUUGGCUCCUCAUCCAGUCCCCACCCACGGUCCGAGAAAUGUCUGGAACCUUCUAGGACAGCCAGAUCUUGACCUACCAGUACGGGAUCCCGACCUCUCUCCAGAAGGCAGGCCAGCAGUGGGACUUCCCCAGUGCCUGGGCCCCCUUGCAGGACCUGGUCAUCAGAGGUAGGGAGGCAGCAGCGGGGCACAUCCCAGGGCCUGCCCUCCUUGCAUCUAGAGGGUCAGCCCCCUGGUACUGGGGAGGCGUGAACGGAGGAUGUGAGGUCUUUCUCUGGCUCUUCUGUUCUCAUGGCUUCCCCCUCAGCAGACAUUUGUGCCUGCCCCCACCUGGCCAGGGAACCAGCCCUCCUUUCUCUCUCCAAACCCAGGCCCUGGGGAAAGAGCACGUUGGCUUUUCACGUGGUUUCAAGAUGGAGGUCUUGAGGCUCGGGCCUCUUUCCCUCCUUGAGGAGAGUAAGGUUCAGGCCUAUGCUCCCUCUGGGUUGGGGACUCAGGUGGCUCAGGGUCCUGCCUGGGGCGGGGUGGGGUCGAGGUCUGGCCAAGUGUCCUUCACCUCGGGCCCAGGAAGUGGCUUUCCAGCUGGCUCAGAAUUGGAUCCGAACCAACUUUGAGGUCUACUCCAGAAAGUCAGCCAUGUAUGAGAAGUAUGACAUCAGCAACGGUGGUCAGCCAGGUGGUGGAGGGGAGUAUGAAGUUCAGGAGGGCUUUGGCUGGACCAGUGGAGUGGUCCUGAUGCUCCUGGCCCGCUACGGCGACCGACUGGCUAUGGCAAUGAGCCAGAGAAACCAGGGCCCCAUCUUCCUGGACCUUACAUAAUUAGCAGGGAGAGUGCCGAUCGAAGCACAACUAAAAGUAAAAUGAGUCCAAGACCAAUGUCUUCCUUGGCUGACUCUACCACACAUCGAAAGAAUUAACACCACCCCUUCUCAAGAUCUUCCAAAAUGGAAGAGGAGGAAACAUUCCUAACUCCUCCUAGAGACCAGCAAUGCAUUUCAACGUCGUACCAGAAGUUCUAGCAGAACAACAGAACAAGAACAAGAAAAAAAAGCAUGCAAAUUGGAAAGGAAGAGCGUCUCUAUUCCCAGAUGACAUGAUUCUGUAUAUAGAAAAUCCCAAGGAUCCACAGGAAGGCUGCUGGGUCUAAUAAACAGAUUCAGCAAAGCUGCAGACGCAAAUCACCAGUCAAAAAAAUCAGUUGUGUCUCCACACAUCUGCCAAGAACAACCUGAAAAGGAAAUUUGAGAAGCAAUCCCAUGUGCAAAAACAGCUAAAAAAUAAAAUACCUAGGAAUAAAUUCCAUUUACAUUAAGUGUCUGGAAUAGGUAAAUUUAUAGACACAGAAAGUUGAAUAGUGGCUUCCAGGGGCCAUG
Lynx canadensis (Canada lynx) is the source of this 2088-nucleotide long non-coding RNA. RefSeq lists it as uncharacterized. The record is from RefSeq and is a predicted model, not a curated record. NCBI's taxonomy places the organism in Eukaryota, Metazoa, Chordata, Mammalia, Carnivora, Felidae. The transcript is spliced from 4 exons.